AGUGAACGCAGGCGGCGUGCUUAACACAUGCAAGUCGAACGAGAACGGAUUAUAGCUUGCUAUAAUUGUCAGCUAAGUGGCGCACGGGUGAGUAAUGUAUAGGUAAUAUGCCUCUUACUAAGGGAUAACAAUUGGAAACGAUUGCUAAUACCUUAUACUCCUUAUUAACCUAAGUUAAUAAGGGAAAGAUUUAUUGGUAAGAGAUUAGCCUGCAUUGUAUCAGUUAGUUGGUGGGGUAAUGGCUUACCAAGACUAUGACACAUAACUGGUUUGAGAGGAUGAUCAGUCACACUGGAACUGAGACACGGUCCAGACUCCUACGGGAGGCAGCAGUGGGGAAUAUUGCACAAUGGACGAAAGUCUGAUGCAGCAACGCCGCGUGGAGGAUGACACAUUUCGGUGCGUAAACUCCUUUUAUAUGAGAAGAUAAUGACGGUAUUAUAUGAAUAAGCACCGGCUAACUCCGUGCCAGCCGCCGCCGUAA
This 484-nucleotide ribosomal RNA is filed under the name uncultured bacterium. RNAcentral describes it as "partial 16S ribosomal RNA". It matches the Rfam family "Bacterial small subunit ribosomal RNA", at positions 29 to 523 of the family's 1533-position model. The record is from RNAcentral.